Fukomys damarensis (Damara mole-rat) is the source of this 286-nucleotide unclassified non-coding RNA. Its record names the gene 7SK. It matches the Rfam family "7SK RNA". From Rfam's summary of the family: 7SK was discovered as an abundant small nuclear RNA in the mid-70s but a possible function has only recently been suggested. Two independent studies have found that 7SK RNA binds the CDK9/cyclin T complex (known as elongation factor P-TEFb). Lineage: Eukaryota; Metazoa; Chordata; Mammalia; Rodentia; Bathyergidae. The record is from Ensembl.
GGAUGUGGGGGUGAUCUGGCUGCAACCUCUGUCACCAUGGAUAGCCAGGGCUGGUCCUGGCUGGGUGGUCUCCCUUCCUCCCUCACCCCUCCACAUGCAUCCUCCUGAAGCUGCAGUGGGAGAGGACAACUACCCCAUGGAGGAGGACCUCUUCCUCCGUCAAGGGUGUUCGAGGAGCUGUGCUCCCCUGCUAGAACCUCCAAACAAGCUCUCCAAAAAAUGUAAGAAAGCUAUGCAUCGACUUUUUUCCAUUUCUUCUCCCAUAGAUUUCAUGGCUGAGUCUGUA